ACACUGAUGGUGAAGUGGUUAUCAUGCUUGCCUUCCAUGAAGCCCUGUGCUUUCCACGGAGCAAGCGGCAGGGGUUCGAUUCCCCUUCAGUGUA
Non-coding RNA from Termitomyces sp. Mi166#008, 94 nucleotides. The record is from the annotation of a GenBank genome assembly. NCBI's taxonomy places the organism in Eukaryota, Fungi, Basidiomycota, Agaricomycetes, Agaricales, Lyophyllaceae.